This 74-nucleotide ribosomal RNA is filed under the name Enterococcus cecorum. The record is from RNAcentral. Lineage: Bacteria; Bacillati; Bacillota; Bacilli; Lactobacillales; Enterococcaceae.
UGUGGUGGCGAUAGCAAGAAGGAUACACCUGUUCCCAUGCCGAACACAGAAGUUAAGCUUCUUAGCGCCGAUAG